RNAcentral lists this ribosomal RNA (426 nucleotides) under uncultured bacterium. RNAcentral describes it as "partial 16S ribosomal RNA". It matches the Rfam family "Bacterial small subunit ribosomal RNA", at positions 354 to 796 of the family's 1533-position model. The record is from RNAcentral.
GUGAGGAAUUUUCCGCAAUGGGCGAAAGCCUGACGGAGCAAUGCCGCGUGAAGGAUGAAGGCCUAUGGGUUGUAAACUUCUUUUCUCAGAAAAGAAUUAUGACGGUAUCUGAGGAGUAAGCAUCGGCUAACUCUGUGCCAGCAGCCGCGGUAAGACAGAGGAUGCAAGCGUUAUCCGGAAUGAUUGGGCGUAAAGCGUCUGUAGGUUGUUUAAAAAGUAUUCUGUCAAAGAUUAGGGCUUAACCCUAGAUAGGCAGAAUAAACUUUUAAGCUAGAGUUUGGUAGAGGCAGAGGGAAUUCCCGGUGGAGCGGUGAAAUGCGUAGAUAUCGGGAGGAACACCAAAGGCGAAGGCACUCUGCUGGGCCAAUACUAACACUGAGAGACGAAAGCGAGGGGAGCAAAUGGGAUUAGAUACCCGAGUAGUCC